This is a long non-coding RNA of Entelurus aequoreus (snake pipefish), 899 nucleotides long. RefSeq lists it as uncharacterized. The record is from RefSeq and is a predicted model, not a curated record. Lineage: Eukaryota; Metazoa; Chordata; Actinopteri; Syngnathiformes; Syngnathidae. The transcript has 6 exons.
CGUCCUCACACUGCUCCUCUGCCGCCAUGGGGUGGUCUUUGAUGAUCAGCUGCUGAAUGGACCCCUGGGGACACACUUGAUGUCAUCAGUGUUUGAACCUGACAAGGAGUGGUCAAGUGGUCAAGCAGAAGCUACCAAAAGUGCCUUAUUGCAGGUCAACUUGCCAAGGGACAUUUCUGUGUUCUAGCCGUCCAUAGCGUUUCUACUCGUAUAGAUUCUUCAUUCAUUCCUCCAAGCAACGUUUAUUUUGAAUUCACCAAAACGUCACCGUGGAGUUAUUGAGUGUGUUUAGCUGAUUGGAGAGCUAGCUUGCGCAGCUAGCGGGUCCAUGACCAUGACUUCUGUUUUGUUUGAUCAGCUGUUUUACUGCCCUGUUACAGACAGCGUUUGGAAACAAUUAAGGUGUGGACGUGAUGACUACGGUGGCCGGGGUCUGGUCCCACACUGCUGUCCCAGGUAGGUCUGAGGGUGUGGGUGCAGGAGCAGAGGUGCUCCUGGGACUUGCCCAGAUGAAAGUCCACCACUGAGCGUGUACACAUGUGGACCACAGCAGCAAGAGGACCAGACUGACAUCCAGACUUGCCAUUCUCCUCUCCUCCAGGAAACACAAGUGCAAAGGUGUAGCUGCGCACAUUGUGCCAGAAUGUUCCAUUGCACAAACAGAGGAACCCGUUCAUGUUGACCGCCUCCUAAAGCCCUGGUCCACUUAAAUCUACUUAAAUAAGCCACAUAACAAUGACACAAGGUGUUGUCAAAGUUGGAAUUGCAAGAAAAUACAUAUGAAGAUAUUCAACACUCUACUGCCAUCUGGCGGCUAAAGUGGAUAGUACAACCCCCCAAUUUGUCACGUUUCAUGUGUCAGGUAAACGGUGACAAAUGGGGGCCAUAUAUAUCGCCUU